RNAcentral lists this ribosomal RNA (413 nucleotides) under uncultured microorganism. RNAcentral's name for it is "bacterial SSU rRNA". It matches the Rfam family "Archaeal small subunit ribosomal RNA", at positions 330 to 745 of the family's 1478-position model. The record is from RNAcentral.
GUGCAGCAGGCGCGAAACUUCACACUGUGCGAAAGCACGAUGAGGGAAUCCCAAGUGCUUGCACGUAAGUGUAAGCUGUUUCUCUGUCUAAAACGCAGAGAGAGUAAGGGCUGGGUAAGACGGGUGCCAGCCGCCGCGGUAAUACCUGCAGCUCAAGUGGUGACCGUUAUUAUUGGGCCUAAAACGUCCGUAGCCGGUUUAAUAAAUGCCUGGGUAAAUUGUGUAGCUUAACUAUACGAAUUCCGGGUAGACUGUUAAACUUGAGACCGGGAGAAGUUAGAGGUACUCCUGGGGUAGAGGUGAAAUUCUGUAAUCCUAGGGGGACCACCAGUGGCGAAGGCGUCUAACUAGAACGGGUCUGACGGUGAGGGACGAAGCCCUGGGGCGCAAACGGGAUUAGGAUACCCGGUAGU